RNAcentral lists this ribosomal RNA (424 nucleotides) under uncultured bacterium. RNAcentral describes it as "bacterial SSU rRNA". It matches the Rfam family "Bacterial small subunit ribosomal RNA", at positions 355 to 776 of the family's 1533-position model. The record is from RNAcentral.
UGAGGAAUAUUGGACAAUGGGCGCAAGCCUGAUCCAGCCAUGCCGCGUGCAGGAAGACUGCCCUAUGGGUUGUAAACUGCUUUUAUACGGGAAGAAACACUCCUACGUGUAGGAAUUUGACGGUACCGUAAGAAUAAGCACCGGCUAACUCCGUGCCAGCAGCCGCGGUAAUACGGAGGGUGCAAGCGUUAUCCGGAAUCAUUGGGUUUAAAGGGUCCGCAGGCGGUCAAUUAAGUCAGAGGUGAAAUCCCACAGCUUAACUGUGGAACUGCCUUUGAUACUGGUUGACUUGAGUUAUAUGGAAGUAGAUAGAAUGUGUAGUGUAGCGGUGAAAUGCAUAGAUAUUACACAGAAUACCAAUUGCGAAGGCAGUCUACUACAUAUAUACUGACGCUCAUGGACGAAAGCGUGGGGAGCGAACAGG